ACUUUAUUUAUGCGGGUGUCCAUGCUCCUGCAGUCCUGUGGUGACCCUUUGGAGCUGGAUCCGUCCUCGUGGAAACACAGCCGGCUCAUCAGUCACAAAUCUCUUCUGAACCUGGAAGAUCUGACUGAAUGCAUGGGCAUGAGAGUUUGUACUCCAGAUUUAAUUCUACAUUUCACCUCGACAUAGCCAACGCACUUACAAAACCACAGGAUACUACCCGUGGUUCAGUGCAGGCAUCAGUUCCUCAAAAGGCCACGUGUGAACUUCUGGGCAGUGCCAUUAGAUGGCGUAUUCAGAAAGAAGCGUGGGAGGAGCCUGGUUGCCGCAUGCCGCGUUUCUUAGCGUUCGCACGCACCUGUGUGCCGUUGUCACGGUGUAGAUCUUUUUACCGUGCUAGGUUGUUUAACGUGGUCAAUACAGACUGAUUUAGGAAAUGAAUUAUGACGCGUAUGUUCUCUGUCGCACACUCACAAACAAUGCUAUAUAUCAAUUCGAUGACCUAUAACUGCUGACAAACGUAAAUAUGGAACACCUUUAAGUAUGGAGUCUCUAAACAGUCUGCAAACUACUGAAUCAAAUGAUUAUAAUGUUCACACAUCCCCCUCUGGUUCGGUGUGAGGCGUCGGACGAGGUCACGGCUGGAAUGUUGCAGACGAGUGGGCUGCUGCUGAGGUACCCCAGCUGGAGUUGAGAGGCGAGAAGAUGUGGCACGACGGGACAGGAACGUAAGCCUGGAGGGAAGGCCG
Dermacentor silvarum is the source of this 746-nucleotide long non-coding RNA. RefSeq lists it as uncharacterized. NCBI's taxonomy places the organism in Eukaryota, Metazoa, Arthropoda, Arachnida, Ixodida, Ixodidae. The transcript is spliced from 3 exons. The record is from RefSeq and is a predicted model, not a curated record.